Molecule: ribosomal RNA, 654 nt
Filed under: uncultured Actinomycetes bacterium
Lineage: Bacteria; Bacillati; Actinomycetota; Actinomycetes
Description: bacterial SSU rRNA
Rfam family: Bacterial small subunit ribosomal RNA
Source: RNAcentral
ACGAUGAUGGGAGCUUGCUCCCUGGAUUAGUGGCGAACGGGUGAGUAACACGUGAGUAACCUGCCCUUAACUCUGGGAUAAGCCUGGGAAACUGGGUCUAAUACCGGAUAUGACUCCUCAUCGCAUGGUGGGGGGUGGAAAGCUUUAUUGUGGUUUUGGAUGGACUCGCGGCCUAUCAGCUUGUUGGUGAGGUAAUGGCUUACCAAGGCGACGACGGGUAGCCGGCCUGAGAGGGUGACCGGCCACACUGGGACUGAGACACGGCCCAGACUCCUACGGGAGGCAGCAGUGGGGAAUAUUGCACAAUGGGCGCAAGCCUGAUGCAGCGACGCCGCGUGAGGGAUGACGGCCUUCGGGUUGUAAACCUCUUUCAGUAGGGAAGAAGCGAAAGUGACGGUACCUGCAGAAGAAGCGCCGGCUAACUACGUGCCAGCAGCCGCGGUAAUACGUAGGGCGCAAGCGUUAUCCGGAAUUAUUGGGCGUAAAGAGCUCGUAGGCGGUUUGUCGCGUCUGCCGUGAAAGUCCGGGGCUCAACUCCGGAUCUGCGGUGGGUACGGGCAGACUAGAGUGAUGUAGGGGAGACUGGAAUUCCUGGUGUAGCGGUGAAAUGCGCAGAUAUCAGGAGGACACCGAUGGCGAAGGCAGGUCUCUGGG